RNAcentral lists this long non-coding RNA (1450 nucleotides) under Homo sapiens (human). RNAcentral's name for it is "non-protein coding lnc-TFAM-3:1". Lineage: Eukaryota; Metazoa; Chordata; Mammalia; Primates; Hominidae. The record is from RNAcentral.
GUUCUCGGACUCUCCGACUGAGCCUCUAACUCCUUUUCGGACAUCCCCACCGCGCGCUCCGGCGCCCGCUACUCCAGCCUACGGCCGGCCGGUUUAGCUCCAGGCCCGCUCCCCCGCGGAGCCGGAGGACACCCAGGGACUGGAGACUUCGCGGGACUCCCCACCCUUCCACGCCUCUCAGAUUUCCAGGCGCUGGGGGCCCUGUGCGAACUUGACUGGCUUCAGAAAAGCCGAAGGCCGAGUUUGUACUGGCGCGCCCAAGUUGCGUUCUGGACUUUGGAGAUGCCAACUUUAGCCCGGACACCUGGGCUGUGCCAUCCGGACCACUCGGGCCGCACAGAGUAUGCGUGACCCUCCCCAUUCCCUGGCAGCCUCGAGUUCUGUCUCUCUCCGUCUGUUUCACUCUCUCCCCUUGUCAGUAUCCACUUCCUCCAGCUGAGGGGCCUUGUCUCACUAUUGGGAAACGCUCUGCAGAUGUCAAGGCUUAAGACAGGAGCUCCCGCCCCCACCCCUGUGGUCAAGGAGGGCCAGGAUCGGGGUGAGCAGCCAAAGCGAGGGGGGAGUGUGGAGGCAGUGCUGCUGUGUUUGAGGACAGUGUUCAUCUCUUGACAGGCUUAUAAAACACAUCUUGAGUUACAUUCAGUCCAUAAAAAUCUUCCUAUGCUAUGGGUGUCUGACUUUGUCUUUCACAACUUAGAAUUAUUUUUAACUCUUUAAUUUCUUUGGGACUUUCCCAGGUAGAAAAUCUUCAACCAUACUGGACCGAAAACAGAUUCUGAUUUAUAAUACGAGUGUUGGAGUGAACGUCAAAACGUCCAAGGUCAUUUUGACCUUUCUUAAAACAGAUAAUUACUAGCCUACCUGUAGCCACCGAUGUGGCUCAUUUCCCACAUCCAAAGAGAGAAAUGAGUUAGUUUGAAUGACUGUUAUUCUUAAAAUACGUGUACGGGACCAGGCGUUAGUCUCACUUAGGGCGCUGGUGAAGAUUCAUUCAGUAGCUAGUGUUCUUUUAUCAUGGAGGAGUUUGGAGUUUUUCAAACGUUAUUUGUGGCUUUAUGCAUAACUUACUUUGACUUUAUCAGUCAAUGCAUCGCAGUAUGGGAAUGAUUUAGCCCUCUGUGGAAAUGCAGUGGCUUUUUAGAACAAUUAAGCAGGUUAUUUUAAGAGAGAACAACAUGUUUUCCAAAACAAUAACUUGGUGGAAACAAAUAGCAAGAGUGUUUGGCAGACGUUUUUUGGAUGUGCUACAGGCUUUCCUCCCUUGUUGCUUAUUUUUAUUGACAAACAUCCCUAAUGUGUGUCAUGUCUUUCUCUGUCUCUCCCCUUCCCUCUCUUUUUUUCUCAAAUUAUGUAACUUUUGAGGACAGUUACUUCUGUGAUAAACUCUUCAAGUAAGACCGUUAUAAGAUAGAUUUGGAAAUUAAAGCCCCAGUUGCAUUUCAGUAACUCA